Ochotona curzoniae (black-lipped pika) is the source of this 773-nucleotide long non-coding RNA. RefSeq lists it as uncharacterized. NCBI's taxonomy places the organism in Eukaryota, Metazoa, Chordata, Mammalia, Lagomorpha, Ochotonidae. The record is from RefSeq and is a predicted model, not a curated record. The transcript has 3 exons.
UGCAGGUCAUGUAACUCAGGCUGUGCCCUAAUCAGCACUGGCUUUCAGUUCUCAAGGGCCAGGGCUCCUGGCAGCCAUGAAUCUCCUUUCACUAUUAAGGACCUAGAUAGGAUAUGUUGACUUCCUCCCCCCAUAGAGGGUCAAUAACUCUUUAAGGAAUUGGUAAAAGAAUACAUGAAAAAGUAAAUUUUGUGUUCAAAUAAAAAUUUCAUUUAUUAGACAAUACUGAACAGACAAAUGGACUAAGAAACUGGAGAGUCAGGUCUUGGUCGUGAUUGGAGAGUGAAGAAGAGGAGGUGGAAGAUGGCAGGUUCUUCUAUGGGCCUCUUCGCUGCUACAGGCUUACCAGUACUCCUAGAAACAGCAGGACCCAGAGCUUGCUUCUCUCUGCACCACAGGUAGUGUGCACAGUCCAAAGACCAGAAGGAAAUAGAGCAGCUGCUCCAGAUACAGCCUCACACUGCGAAUUCUCCAACAAAAGUUUCUGGCCCUUCAGUUUCAUCGGUUUAUGGGUCUGUGAGUUGGCCAUCCUGGAAUUCUUCUUGAGGUUUUGGCAGACUUUCUGAGCUGGCUGUGACAUGCCCACAAAUUUGGAGGACGUUAAUGUGUUGCACAUGUUGCUGGCAACCGUAGGCCCACCCACGAUAGACCAUGUGCAACUUGGGAGCCCAGGAGAAGUGCAUUUUCAGAACCCCAUAAUUCCACUUCCUUAUGAACACCACACAAGCCCCUGUGACAUGCGCAGAUCUGGAGACAGAGCCCUGGGAAGCCUC